This 1368-nucleotide long non-coding RNA is filed under the name Fukomys damarensis (Damara mole-rat). RNAcentral's name for it is "lncRNA (ENSFDAG00000027419.1)". The record is from RNAcentral. Lineage: Eukaryota; Metazoa; Chordata; Mammalia; Rodentia; Bathyergidae.
UGUGGGUACGGACCAGUGGAAUUUUGGCCAAAGACUAUAAAGAGUUAACAAACCCUUGCAUCAGGUGAGGCAAGAAACUCAAGUCAAGAACCCACUUGUGGGCAGCAGAUGGGGUCUCUGUGCCUAAGUUGCCUCAUCUCUUAGCUGAGGAGUUUGUCCAGAUCGGAAAAGACUGUUUGUAGUUGUCUCUUAGUAACAUCCAUCCCAUGGCUUAAUUCCUGAUAACACAAAGUACAGCAAAUAUACAACAAAGCACAGGGCUGGCCAAGAACACAAGGUAGUGCCAAUAGGAAGAAGGGGUCAGAGUCCAAGGUACUGGGCCACCAGCUUUGUCCACGCUAGGGCACCGCUGUGUCAAGAACAGAAGUGCAUGCAGAGGCAGGGCUGUCUGCACCAGCAGAUGGCCUUUCAAGGGCCUCUCCAUGCACGAGGUGGUAGGUCUCAGCCUCGGCGAGCUCACCCAGGGGACGGACACUAUAAAACUUACCGGCAGAGGUCUGAGAAGCCCUAGCUGCUGCGGCUUUCUCCGGUGAGGGCCUGUGACUGCCCAGGAAGGUGUAUCCGUUGCGCAUGCACGUACCUGCAAAGGCGUGCAUCGUGCGUGCGCUGGCCCGGAAAUACGUGCUCGUCCAUGCAAGUCUGCGCAUGCGUAUGGGCGCAUACGUGCCUACGCGGGUGCGCACAGACAGACACAGUGGCCACGUUAUUUGUGAGCCUCGGAUCAGAUAAGAGGUGAUUCAUGGCGGGGAAAGGCAUGGGACUGGAGACGGGUCCAGUCCGUCUCUGUCGUCAUGCACUGGGUGGCCAUAAGAGUCUUUAAUGUUUCACCUGAUGAAGGACGCAGUCACCUACAUGUUUGUGCGGGGUCGUGAGGAAGGACCACAAGAAAAGCAAAACACUCAAAUUUACACACCAAGCAACUGAAGAAUGAAAGCAAAUAGAUUAAUCACCAUCAGCUCAUACAGAGGAAUUCUCACCCUACACUCAGGUCAAGUGAAUCAUGCUGUUCUGAGGUUGGUGAAGCUCCCAACAAUGCAAUCCUCUGCAUUUAUCUGCAAAGAUUCGAAGGCAAACAGCACUAAAACUCUAGUCCGAGAAAAGAUCUACCUGGAAUCCACACAGAAGUACACUGAGCCUUCGCCGGUAGGACUUCAGGGAGGGAUUACAUGCACAGGCCACAGUGGGCCUGGGGUUCUGAAGGAUACCAGACUCCAAGCAGGCCGGGUUAAAGACAGCGGGCAAGAGAGGACCUGCAGCUGCGUGGCCAGUCAUCAGAACACUCCAGGAUACUUCACGAUGGUGCCUUCACAAAACCUCAAGGAGCCAGCGGGACCCAGGCUGCUCUGUGCCCAUCAGGAAGCGCUGUAG